AUCAUCUCUGACCUUUCCAAAAAGAUCUAUCAGUUCAUUUCUAUUCUCAUCCCAUUCUUCCAUCACAAUAGGCUUUAAUUUGAUCCAUGUCUCCAAUAUACCCUCAACUGUGAGCCCUUCUGCAACCUUUCAAGAAGAACUAUGACAUAAAUCAAGUGAUACUACACUUGUCAAUUCAUAAUAAAAAGGUUAAAUUACACUGACAUUUCUUCAUUUAAGUUAUAAAACGCCUGGUGUAAGCAUGAUAUUACUUAAUCUCAGAACAGGUUAGUGUAAUUUAAGAUGACAAAAAUCAAGGUGAUCUUAGGCUUCAAAUCAAACAAUUUUAAAAAAAUAAUUUUAAACAAAAAAAAUUCAAACCAAAUUAUAUCAAUUUUACAAGUGUAAUUACCCGUGCGAUGCACGUGCCAUGCACGUGAUAAGAUCGAAUAAAAUAUCAAACUGAUAAUUAAAUAAAAACAGAAAAAUAGUAUUACAAAAUUUAUAAAAAACAAUAAUAAAUCUCUAAUAAAAUUUUUAUUAAAAAUUAAAUUAUAAACAAAUUAAAAAAUUGAAAUCACCGGAGCUUUGAACAAUGGGUUCCAAUUGUCCAUCACAGUUGAGAUCCUAGUGGCGAAUGUGCUCAACUACUUCUUCGCAAAUAUCAAAGGUGGAUGGGGAUGGAGGCUUAGCUUUGGUGGCGCAAUGGUCUCUGCACUCAUCAUCACAAUCGGAUCAUUGGUCCUUCCAGACACACCCAACUCCAUGAUCGAGCGUGGAGAGCACGAAAAGGCUACGCAACAACUGAGGAAGGUUCGCGACGUGGAAGACAUUGAUGAAGAGUUCAACGAUCUUAUUGCCGCAAGUGAGAAAUCGAAGAAGGAAAAAAUGAAAAGUAAGAAGAGAUCAUAGCAAUGUGAAAUUUCAUAUAGGACUAGAAUUAUGUAUUCUUAAGGAUUAUUACCUGUUUUGUGGUGACAAUGUAAACUUUUGAGCUUGCAAAUCUUAGUGCAUCAGCGGUACCAGGAUAGAAUAUAUAGGUAUAAAACACAAUCACCAAUAAGCAAGAGUUCAAAAGUCAAAAACACAAUCACGCAAACCCUUUUUCUAAAACCCGAAAAUCAAAUCUCAGUUGUUUUUGUAUGGUGUAUCGAAUAGUACAAAUAUACAUACAUCAUACCUUAAGAUCUUAACAUAAUUCUGGACAGUACUGACAGAUAACUUCUAUUAAAUCUAUACUAUUAGAUCAUCUUGGUGAAUUGAAUGCUAAGUUUAACUCGGCACAUUUAAGACAUUCCCUUAAUUGAACUACCUGUUUGCUCCCAUCCAACCAGAGAAAUCAUUCUGCAACCAAUCAUCUCUGACCUUUCCAAAAAGAUCUAUCAGUUUAUCUCUAUUCUCAUCCCAUUCUUCCAUCACAAUAGGCUUCAAUUUGAUCCAUGUCUCCAAUAUACCCUCAACUGUGAGCCCUUCUGCAACCUUUCAAGAAGAACUAUGACAUAAAUCAAGUGAUACUAUACUUGUCAAUUCAUAAUAAAAAGAUUAAAUUACACUGAUAUUUCUUUAUUUAAGUUAUAAAACGCCUGGUGUAAGCAUGAUAUUACUUAAUCUCAGAACAGGUUAGUGUAAUUUAAGAUGACAAAAAUCAAGGUG
Molecule: long non-coding RNA, 1632 nt
Filed under: Arachis ipaensis
Lineage: Eukaryota; Viridiplantae; Streptophyta; Magnoliopsida; Fabales; Fabaceae
Description: long non-coding RNA (AIPA_LNC002088)
Source: RNAcentral